RNAcentral lists this ribosomal RNA (451 nucleotides) under uncultured bacterium. RNAcentral's name for it is "bacterial SSU rRNA". It matches the Rfam family "Bacterial small subunit ribosomal RNA", at positions 354 to 796 of the family's 1533-position model. The record is from RNAcentral.
GUGGGGAAUAUUGGACAAUGGGGGGAACCCUGAUCCAGCCAUGCCGCGUGUGUGAAGAAGGCCUUUUGGUUGUAAAGCACUUUAAGCGAGGAGGAGGCUACCGAGAUUAAUACUCUUGGAUAGUGGACGUUACUCGCAGAAUAAGCACCGGCUAACUCUGUGCCAGCAGCCGCGGUGAUACAGAGGGUGCGAGCGUUAAUCGGAUUUACUGGGCGUAAAGCGUGCGUAGGCGGCUGAUUAAGUCGGAUGUGAAAUCCCUGAGCUUAACUUAGGAAUUGCAUUCGAUACUGGUCAGCUAGAGUAUGGGAGAGGAUGGUAGAAUUCCAGGUGUAGCGGUGAAAUGCGUAGAGAUCUGGAGGAAUACCGAUGGCGAAGGCAGCCAUCUGGCCUAAUACUGACGCUGAGGUACGAAAGCAUGGGGAGCAAACAGGAUUAGAUACCCGUGUAGUCC